This 294-nucleotide ribosomal RNA is filed under the name uncultured bacterium. RNAcentral describes it as "partial 16S ribosomal RNA". It matches the Rfam family "Bacterial small subunit ribosomal RNA", at positions 28 to 334 of the family's 1533-position model. The record is from RNAcentral.
GAUGAACGCUAGCGGUGCGCCUAAUACAUGCAAGUCGAGCGGUAACAGGGAGAGCUUGCUCUCUGCUGACGAGCGGCGGACGGCUGAGUAACACGUUGGAACCUACCCCAGACUCAGGGAUAACCUGCCGAAAGGCAGACUAAUACCGGAUAAUCUCGUAAGAGUAAAGCUUUUGCGGUCUGGGAGGGGCCUGCGUCCUAUCAGCUUGUUGGUGAGGUAAAAGCUCACCAAGGCUAUGACGGGUAGCUGAUGUGAGAGCAUGAUCAGCCAGAAUGGAACUGAGACACGGUCCAU